UACGUAGGGUGCAAGCGUUGUCCGGAAUUAUUGGGCGUAAAGAGCUCGUAGACGGUCUGUCGCGUCUGCUGUGAAAACUCAGGGCUUAACCCUGAGCUUGCAGUGGGUACGGGCAGACUAGAGUGCGGUAGGGGAGACUGGAAUUCCUGGUGUAGCGGUGAAAUGCGCAGAUAUCAGGAGGAACACCGGUGGCGAAGGCGGGUCUCUGGGCCGUAACUGACGCUGAGGAGCGAAAGCAUGGGGAGCGAACAGG
This 253-nucleotide ribosomal RNA is filed under the name uncultured bacterium. Its description in RNAcentral is "partial 16S ribosomal RNA". It matches the Rfam family "Bacterial small subunit ribosomal RNA", at positions 524 to 776 of the family's 1533-position model. The record is from RNAcentral.